RNAcentral lists this ribosomal RNA (181 nucleotides) under uncultured bacterium. Its description in RNAcentral is "partial 16S ribosomal RNA". It matches the Rfam family "Bacterial small subunit ribosomal RNA", at positions 1317 to 1500 of the family's 1533-position model. The record is from RNAcentral.
UGCAUGAAGUCGGAAUUGCUAGUAAUCGCGGAUCAGCAUGCCGCGGUGAAUACGUUCUCGGGCCUUGUACACACCGCCCGUCACACCAUGGAGUCGGUAACACCCGAAGUGUGUAGCCUGACGCAAGAGGGCGCAGCCGAAGGUGGGAUUGAUGACUGGGGUGAAGUCGUAACAAGGUAGC